AUUGAACGCUGGCGGCAUGCUUUACACAUGCAAGUCGAACGGUAACAGGCCUUCGGGUGCUGACGAGUGGCGAACGGGUGAGUAAUGCAUCGGAACGUACCCAGAGGUGGGGGAUAACGCAGCGAAAGCUGUGCUAAUACCGCAUGUGAUCUGAGGAUGAAAGCGGGGGACCGAGCAGCAAUGUUUGGCCUCGCGCCUUUGGAGCGGCCGAUGUCGGAUUAGCUAGUUGGUGGGGUAAAGGCCUACCAAGGCGACGAUCCGUAGCUGGUCUGAGAGGACGACCCGGCAAACCGGGGCAGGGGGCCGGGCCCAACCCCUACCGGGAGGCACGAGGGGGGAUUUUUGGAAAAGGGGCCCAAGCCUAGUCCAGCAAUGCCGCGGGGGGGAAGAAGGCCUUGGGGUUGUAACCCGCUUUGGGCAGGAACGAAACGGGGUCCGCUAAUACCGGGCGCUAAUGGCGGUCCCUGCAAAAAAAGCACCGGCUACCUACGU
RNAcentral lists this ribosomal RNA (492 nucleotides) under uncultured bacterium. RNAcentral's name for it is "partial 16S ribosomal RNA". It matches the Rfam family "Bacterial small subunit ribosomal RNA", at positions 28 to 506 of the family's 1533-position model. The record is from RNAcentral.